This 323-nucleotide long non-coding RNA is filed under the name Salvia miltiorrhiza (redroot sage). RNAcentral's name for it is "long non-coding RNA (SMIL_LNC013700)". The record is from RNAcentral. Lineage: Eukaryota; Viridiplantae; Streptophyta; Magnoliopsida; Lamiales; Lamiaceae.
UGUUGUUUAAAGUUUGAGACGAGAUUGUUCUCAUAACUUAAUUAUAGUUUCACAAAUUCUAGAGAAAAUGAUACUCACAAGUAAGUUAUAAUCUUCAAGCUCCAUACAAGAUGAUGUUCAAAAUUCAGAUGUGGUAUUUCAAACUCCAAAGAAUAUGAUUUUCAAAAUUUUGACGUUCAAAUGUUAUAUGUGGUCUUUAGAGCUUCAUAUGAUUAUCUGGUUUUAUUAGGUCCAUAUGAGAUGAUACUCAGAUGACAUAUGUUUAGUUAAAUUAUUUCUUAUCCGUCAAAUUUAAAGAAUUUGAACAAACUUAAUACUCCCUC